RNAcentral lists this ribosomal RNA (633 nucleotides) under Syllis gracilis complex lineage 4 PAC-2017. RNAcentral describes it as "SSU rRNA". It matches the Rfam family "Eukaryotic small subunit ribosomal RNA", at positions 763 to 1393 of the family's 1831-position model. The record is from RNAcentral. Lineage: Eukaryota; Metazoa; Annelida; Polychaeta; Phyllodocida; Syllidae.
AAAUUAGAGUGUUCAAGGCAGGCUUCAGACGGCCUGAAUAAUGGUGCAUGGAAUAAUGGAAUAGGAUCUCGGUUCUAUUUUGUUGGUUUUCGGAACUCGAGAUAAUGAUUAAGAGGGACAGACGGGGGCAUCCGUACUGCGGCGUUAGAGGUGAAAUUCUUGGAUCGCCGCAAGACGAACUACUGCGAAAGCAUUUGCCAAGAAUGUUUUCAUUAAUCAAGAACGAAAGUCAGAGGUUCGAAGACGAUCAGAUACCGUCCUAGUUCUGACCAUAAACGAUGCCGACUAGCGAUCCGCCGGAGUUGUACCUAUGACCCGGCGGGCAGCUUCCGGGAAACCAAAGUCUUUGGGUUCCGGGGGAAGUAUGGUUGCAAAGCUGAAACUUAAAGGAAUUGACGGAAGGGCACCACCAGGAGUGGAGCCUGCGGCUUAAUUUGACUCAACACGGGGAAACUCACCCGGCCCGGACACCGUGAGGAUUGACAGAUUGAGAGCUCUUUCUUGAUUCGGUGGGUGGUGGUGCAUGGCCGUUCUUAGUUGGUGGAGCGAUUUGUCUGGUUAAUUCCGAUAACGAACGAGACUCUAGCCUAUUAAAUAGUUCGCCGCCCGUGAAUGGUAGCGGCGCCCUAACUC